Vicugna pacos (alpaca) is the source of this 1878-nucleotide non-coding RNA. The record is from RefSeq and is a predicted model, not a curated record. Lineage: Eukaryota; Metazoa; Chordata; Mammalia; Artiodactyla; Camelidae.
GGUUGCUGCAGGCGGAGGGCGGGGCUCCGCCGGGUCCUGGGUCCUCCGCGUGCGCGCGGCGGGGCCGAGCGGGAAGCCCAGGUGCGGCGAGGUUCACCUGACCGGAGAUGCCGAGCCCACACAAACGCGGAGUCACUCGGCUGGGGUUCCCCGAAGCUCUCGAACUCGUUUCUUUGCUGAGUACUUGGCUGUCGAGUGUGAAUUAACGCUGCCUACUUCGCCCUGGGCGGAGCUCCUUUAGGACGGCCGGUGCCUUAGUCCUUAGUCUCGGCCCGCAGUGCCGUGGGUGUGCCGCCCGUGCUUGUGAACUUCUGGGGUGCCGUGACCCCUGGGGGCCCUCGACGUGGGGGGCAGCGACGACGGAGCCUCUCCAGGCCUCACUCCACCCCAGGACCCGAGGCUGUCCAGCUCAAGAGAACAGGAGACCCCCGGCCCCUUCGGUUUACCGUCAGCAAAACCUCGUCGUGUGAGAGCUGCUGCAGGAGCUCUUCUCCACCCUGCGCUGCUGACACUGACUUUAAAAUGCAAACGUAUGUAUUUCUUCGCACACAUCAUCGUAUUUAAUAUAUGUAGUAACGCCAUAACCCUGUGCAGUAUUUUUUUUCUCUAGGUGGGUACUUUUAAGACCCUCAGUUUCCAUCUCCUAAGGUUCAGAGAGGUUAAAUGCCUUGCUUGAGGUCACACAUCUCAGAUUUGAGCCCAUGUCAUUCGACUCCAGAGGCCAUGGCCUUAUCUGCCACACUAUACUGCCACCCUGUAUUCCUGAAAAUGUGACUUUCCUGGGGUCAUUCAGCCCAGAUGAGAGCCACCCUGAGCACAAGUUAAACUGGUGCUGCUUCCCUGUGCUUACAGCACACAGUUUGGCCAGAGCUUGGGUCUCUUUUCCUUCCUUCCUUCCUUCCUCUCCCCAUCCAUCUCGCACAAGAGUGCUGGUUUUUCUCUGAGGACCAGGCCAUCCCAUAAUCCUCUGAUACUCAGGAUUAACUUGUCUCCGGGGGAAGUGGAUUCCAAGCUUGGGUAACCAUUGCCCCCCACAGAGUGUGUGGGGCGGUGGUCCGCCGUUGCAGGGGCUGGAGGAGGCUGUACUCCUGGCUGCGGGUUCCGUAAUCCUCCCGCCUGCUGGCUGUGAUGCCUUUGGCUUUCAGUCUGCGAGGAGUCACACAGAGCCCGGGGCUGCAGGGAGCAAAAGGCGUCAGACUGACGCAUCAGAAGAGCCAGCUGUUCGGAACUGUGGGACCGCUUUGCCUUAUGGCAGAGAAGAUACAGGGUUUGUGGUUAGAAACCUUUGGUUAGGAGGCUGUGAGUCCUGUCCUUUAAGUGUGGAAGCUGUGACUUUGUUUUUCGAGUGUGUUCCUAGAACCCGAAAGAAGAGACGGCUGCCGAAACCAGGUGGCCUGGGGACUGAAUGGCCCCUUCUCGGGGAGAAAGUCCUGGGAGGCUGAAAGAGCUGCUUUCACUGACAGGCGACCGAUGAGAAGUUGGCUGAGUUGGCUCUGGCGCCGGGCAUCCCAGACGGUGAUGCCUCUUCUCGGCCAGAGUGCGGGCGGAGGUGCUGUGGGUGCGGGUGGGGCCCCUUGGCCCCACGCCUCUUCUGGAGCCCGCCUCAGGCCAGCUCGAGGCUCAGCCUGCCCGCCAGGCCACCCACUCCUUCUCCCGAGAGGCGGGGCAGCACUGUCCUUGUUCCACAGAUGGUGAUGGCGAGUCCCGGAGGAGGAAGCAGCCGGAACCCGUGUCGGGUAAGCGGCCGUCCCGGGGCCCAACCAAGCCCGCUGGCCCGGAGAGCCCGAGCUUUAACCGUGACACCCGCGCGCCUGUUGUGUUUCCCUGGAGCCCCUGGACUUCCCUUUUGAGGCGUUUUGUGAACUCUCUGGUUUCUAA